GACGAACGCUGGCGGCGUGCUUAACACAUGCAAGUCGAACGGAAAGGCCCUGCUUUUGUGGGGUGCUCGAGUGGCGAACGGGUGAGUAACACGUGAGUAACCUGCCCUUGACUUUGGGAUAACUUCAGGAAACUGGGGCUAAUACCGGAUAGGAGCUCCUGCUGCAUGGUGGGGGUUGGAAAGUUUCGGCGGUUGGGGAUGGACUCGCGGCUUAUCAGCUUGUUGGUGGGGUAGUGGCUUACCAAGGCUUUGACGGGUAGCCGGCCUGAGAGGGUGACCGGCCCAAGUGUGACGGAGAUGCGGCGCCGGCUGCGAGGAGAGGCAGAAGUGGAGAAUAGUACACAGUGGGCGACAGUCUGAUGCAGCGACGCCGCGCGCGUGAGGACGGCCGUCGGGUUGGAAGCCGCUUUCGACUGUGGCGAAGCGUGAGAUACGGUAAGGGGAAACGACGCACCGGCUACCGACGUGCCAUCGGCAGGGGUAAUAGCUCGUAAGCACACAGUCUGAUC
RNAcentral lists this ribosomal RNA (509 nucleotides) under uncultured bacterium. RNAcentral describes it as "partial 16S ribosomal RNA". It matches the Rfam family "Bacterial small subunit ribosomal RNA", at positions 35 to 539 of the family's 1533-position model. The record is from RNAcentral.